CUCUCUACUCUCACCAUUAUUCCCCGCAUUAUUCCCGCAUUAUCAAAAUUUCUUAUUUGAGGGUUCUUCUUCUCAAUCUCUGAGAUUUGGGGAUUUCUGUGUUAUCAAUAUCGAUGUCAAUGGCAAUCAUCGAGUCAGUUUCUCAUCAACAUGAGCCGGAUGAUCCCGAUUUUGAAAUUCCAGAUCUUGAUAGUGACAAGCAAAGUGAGAAAUUCAAACAUAAACCUGAAGAAGACAAAACAGAAAGGUAUGAGUUUGAGGUAGAGGAAGCUGUAGGAAAUUGGGUUGAUGAGUGUAAGAUUAGUCGCAAUUCCAUCCCAGAUACUUCGGAUGAGGAUGAGGAUCCUGUUAUUACAAGAGACAGGAAAAUUAGGUUGGGAACAACAAAUGAUAGGUUAGCUAUUGGAAGAACAUUCUUCACCGGUUUUGAAUUCAAAGAAGUUGUGUUACAUUAUGCAUUGAGGAAUAUAGCAAAUCUGAAACAAACCAGGUGGGAGAAGGAGAAAUUAGAGUUUAAGUGUGCUGGGAAGAAGAACUGCUGCUGGAAGGUCUAUUGCUCAUACGAUAAUACUAGACUUUUGUGAUUGUGAAGACUGUAUGUUUAGAGCAUACAUGUACUCCUAAUGGAAAAUGCAAGCUCCUUAAAAGACCAGUGAUUGCAAUGUUGUUUAUGGACAAACUGAGGAUGCAACCUAAGUACAUGCCUCUAGACAUUCAAAGGCAUAUCAAGGAGCAAUGGAAAAUAUCUAGUACUAUUGGACAAUGUCAGACCGGAAGACUUAUAGCACUCAAGUGGUUAAAAGAUGAAUAUGAUCAGCAAUUCGCUCACCUCCGAGGAUAUGUUGCUGAAAUCAUAAGCUCCAACCCGGGAUCUACUGCCAUUGUUGAUACUAUAACUGAUGGUGUUGGAAAUCAUGUCUUCAAUCGGAUAUAUGUGUGUCUUGCAGCAAUGAAGAAUGCAUUCUACUUUUGCAGAUCACUCAUUGGGAUAGAUGGAACCUUCUUGAAGCAUGCAGUUAAAGGUUGUCUUUUCACCGCUAUUGCUCAUGAUGCAAACAACCAGAUUUACCCCAUAGCUUGGGCAACGGUUCAAACUGAGAAUAGAGACAAUUGGCUUUGGUUUCUAAAUCAGCUGAAGGUUGACUUGAAUCUCAAAGAUGGCACUGCUUAUGUUAUUAUAUCAGAUCGAUGCAAGGGAUUGUUUAGUGCAGUUAAAACAGCAUUGCCAAAUGCUGAACACAGACCUUGUGUGAAGCAUAUAGUAGAAAACUUGAAGAAGAAACAUGCAAAUAAGGAUUUAUUGAAGAAGCAUGUAUGGAACUUAGCUUGGAGUUAUAGCUAUGAAGAAUACAAGACUAACUUGGCAAUGUUAAGAGCUUAUAAUAUAUCUUUGUAUGAAGAUGUCAUGAAGGAGAACCCAAAGUCUUGGUGUAGAGCAUUUUUCAUUCUCGGCAAUUUUUGUGAAGAUGUGGACAACAAUGCAACAGAAUCGUUUAAUGCAACAGUUGUCAAAGCUAGAGCAAAAUCAUUGGUUCCUAUGAUGGAAACAAUACGAAGACAAGCAAUGACAAGAAUAAGUAAGAGAAAGGCAAAGAUUGGCAGAUGGAAGAAAAAUAUAUUUGAGUAUGUUUCAGAUAUUCUGGCUGAGGAGGAAGAAGAUGCUUUGAGAUGUGAAGUCACCAAAGGGACACAUGGGCAGUUUGAGGUUUGGGUUGAUGGGAACUCAAACUCUGUGAAUUUGACUACUAAAUUAUGGGAUUGCUCAUGCUGCAAGUGGCAAAUCACAGGGAUUCCAUGUGAACAUGUCUAUGCAGCAAUAAUGGAUAUCGGUAAGGAUGUGGAAGAUUUUGUAGUUCCAAUGUUUAGUACUCAAGUGUGGAAAGAACAGUAUGAUACAGCGCCAAGUCCAGUUAGAGGGCAACGUUAUUGGAUGACCAAUGAUUACGUUUUAAUAACCGCACCUCCAGAACCAAAUCCACCAGGAAGAAAGAAAGGGCAGAAGAAGAAUUAUAAUCGGAUCAAGAGUCCACUCGAGUCACCCAAGAAGAAAAAGUAGAAAAAGAUGGACAUGUGGUUCUUAAAUUAGGACGGAAAGGAAGAACAAUGCACUGCAAAUUAUGUGGUGAAGCAGGACAUAAUGCCGCUGGAUGUAAAAAAUUUCCAAGGGAGAAGAAGCCUAGGAAGAAGAGUAAGAAGAAUAUGGAAAUAACUCUGUUUGCUGAGCAAGGUGGAUCUUCAUCUAAGAAAAAGAAGAGUAAAAAGAAGAGUAAGAAAUCAUAACCAUCAUUUGUCUUCUCCUCACAAACC
Molecule: RNA transcript, 2307 nt
Organism: Camelina sativa (false flax)
Lineage: Eukaryota; Viridiplantae; Streptophyta; Magnoliopsida; Brassicales; Brassicaceae
Source: RefSeq, a predicted model, not a curated record